Molecule: ribosomal RNA, 404 nt
Filed under: uncultured bacterium
Lineage: Bacteria
Description: bacterial SSU rRNA
Rfam family: Bacterial small subunit ribosomal RNA
Source: RNAcentral
UUUUGGACAAUGGGCGCAAGCCUGAUCCAGCCAUGCCGCGUGAGUGAAGAAGGCCUUCGGGUUGUAAAGCUCUUUCGGCGGGGACGAAACGGUUCGUGCUAAUACCACGGACUACUGACGGUACCCGCAGAAGAAGCACCGACUAACUACGUGCCAGCAGCCGCGGUAAUACGUAGGGUGCAGGCGUUAAUCGGAAUUACUGGGCGUAAAGCGUGCGCAGGCGGUUUGUUAAGACAGGUGUGAAAUCCCCGGGCUUAACCUGGGAAUUGCGCUUGUAACUGGCAGACUGGAGUGUGGCAGAGGGGGGUGGAAUUCCAAGUGUAGCAGUGAAAUGCGUAGAUAUUUGGAGGAACACCGAUGGCGAAGGCAGCCCCCUGGGCUAACACUGACGCUCAUGCACGAAA